This is a long non-coding RNA of Hydra vulgaris (swiftwater hydra), 774 nucleotides long. RefSeq lists it as uncharacterized. Lineage: Eukaryota; Metazoa; Cnidaria; Hydrozoa; Anthoathecata; Hydridae. The record is from RefSeq and is a predicted model, not a curated record.
UAUGUAUGUAUGUAUGCAUGUAUGCAUGCAUGUAUAUGUAUGUAUGCACUAUCCAAACAAAGCAUAAAAAAAAUUUAAUUUAAAUAUACAGCAUAUUUUGCACAAAAAUUGAAAUAAUGGAAACAGACGUCAAAAGUAAAUUUAAUGAACCACCUCCUUACUCCGAAGUCAUUCAAGUUCAAGUGCAGCAACCAGUAGUUGGAAAUCCUUAUCUAGCAACAAACACUUUUAUUCAACAACCUGCGACAUAUAUUGUAAAAGAGCUUCCAAAUAACUAUGGUGCUGCUGCAUGGUUAUCUUGUAUAUUCUGCUUCUGGCCUUUUGGAAUUAUGUCGAUUAUUAAAUCUAAAGAGGUCGAUACAGCUAUUUCACAAGGCGACAUAAACAGAGCUCAUAUUGCAUCGCAUACUGCAAAGAAUUAUGCAAUUGCAUCUGUGGUUUGUGGAAUAUUUUUAGCUGCAAUGCUUACUUUGAAAUUUACUAGGAUAUUGUUUUGAAUAAUUUUUAUAGUAAUUUUGAAAGUUAAAGAGACAAAUUUUAACUAAGCUAUUCAACCAAAAUUUUUUUUUUUUUAACUUUUAUUAAAUUUAGCAUUUACUUUUAUUUGAUAAGAUAUUCAUUAGAAUUUAAGAAUAAAAAAACUAAUGCAUUCUAUGGCCUAUUUUGUAACUUUUCUGUUUAAACUAAUAAUUCAAGUUUUUAAAAGUUUAUUGUUAAAAAAAAAAAGUUUCUUUGUUAAAGCGUUUUUGUCGAAAAAUAUAUGGAACAUAAUAA